AUUGAACGCUUGCGGCAUGCUUUACACAUGCAAGUCGAACGGCAGCGCGGGGCAACCUGGCGGCGAGUGGCGAACGGGUGAGUAAUACAUCGGAACGUACCCAGAAGUGGGGGAUAACGUAGCGAAAGUUACGCUAAUACCGCAUACGUUCUACGGAAGAAAGUGGGGGAUCGCAAGACCUCAUGCUUUUGGAGCGGCCGAUGUCUGAUUAGCUAGUUGGUAGGGUAAAGGCCUACCAAGGCGACGAUCAGUAGCUGGGCUGAGAGGACGACCAGCCACACUGGGACUGAGACACGGCCCAGACUCCUACGGGAGGCAGCAGUGGGGAAUUUUGGACAAUGGGCGCAAGCCUGAUCCAGCAAUGCCGCGUGAGUGAAGAAGGCCUUCGGGUUGUAAAGCUCUUUUGUCAGGGAAGAAACGGCUGAGGAUAAUACCUUUGGCUAAUGACGGUACCUGAAGAAUAAGCACCGGCUAACUACGUGCCAGCAGCCGCGGUAA
This 498-nucleotide ribosomal RNA is filed under the name uncultured bacterium. Its description in RNAcentral is "partial 16S ribosomal RNA". It matches the Rfam family "Bacterial small subunit ribosomal RNA", at positions 30 to 523 of the family's 1533-position model. The record is from RNAcentral.